Molecule: transfer RNA, 71 nt
Filed under: Oryzias latipes (Japanese medaka)
Lineage: Eukaryota; Metazoa; Chordata; Actinopteri; Beloniformes; Adrianichthyidae
Rfam family: tRNA
About the family: Transfer RNA (tRNA) molecules are approximately 80 nucleotides in length. Their secondary structure includes four short double-helical elements and three loops (D, anti-codon, and T loops). Further hydrogen bonds mediate the characteristic L-shaped molecular structure. tRNAs have two regions of fundamental functional importance: the anti-codon, which is responsible for specific mRNA codon recognition, and the 3' end, to which the tRNAs corresponding amino acid is attached (by aminoacyl-tRNA synthetases). tRNAs cope with the degeneracy of the genetic code in two manners: having more than one tRNA (with a specific anti-codon) for a particular amino acid; and 'wobble' base-pairing, i.e. permitting non-standard base-pairing at the 3rd anti-codon position.
Source: Rfam by way of RNAcentral
UGCACUGUGGUGCAGUGGUUAGCACUCUUGCCUCACAGCAAGAAUAGCCCAGGUUCAAGUCCCGGCUGCAU